This is a long non-coding RNA of Felis catus (domestic cat), 3535 nucleotides long. RefSeq lists it as uncharacterized. The transcript is spliced from 6 exons. Lineage: Eukaryota; Metazoa; Chordata; Mammalia; Carnivora; Felidae. The record is from RefSeq and is a predicted model, not a curated record.
GUCCCCAGAGGAAAAUGAGGGGCUGCUGCUAGACCAGGCGGGCCUGAGCAUGGACAGGCACAAACCAGACAGCUCUGCGGGUGCCUGCGGGCCCACACGGGGCGCCAGGGGGGCCAGGCAGGCAGGGACAAAGCUUCAGGCAGACUACCUUCCUGUGUAUCUGGUUUGUAGAUUCGGCCCGCUGUCAGAUUGUGUUUGGGGAGCAGCUGCUGCUGCUAAGUGAGUUUGGACAUUCUUGCUGUGGACAAAGGGAGGCAUAUCCAGAGACGAGCCUGAGGGUGUGUCCCCACUGCAAGGAGACUCAGGACAUGAGCACUCCUAGAAUGAGCAUUUAUGAGGCAUCUCCUGCGGGCCGGACCUGGGAUUACAGCAGGAACGAGACAAAGACCCCUCCCUGGGGCUCACGUUCAAAUUAGGCAGAUGGCAACACGGAAGUAAGUCCAUACUGUGCUGGGUCAUGUGGCAGUCACACAGGAAACGGCACAGGAAAAUGUCAUAGAGCAAUAGGGGUUAGGGGACACUUUGGAUGGCCAGGGAGGGUCUCUCUGGGGAAGUGACAUUUGAGCUGAGAUCCUGGAGAAGGAAGCCCAGGAAAGGAGCACCCUGGCAGAGGGAAUAGCACGUGUAAAGGCUCCAACACGGGACGGCGUUUUGUAUAUUUGAGAAACAGACGGCAUCAGCUUCGGAGCCCAGUCAGGAAGGGGGAGAGCAGACGAGGGCGAGGAAGGGGCUCCGUGCCGCAGGCUGUACGGGCCCCAUCAAGGACGUCUGAGCACUGGUCCCACACAGAGAGGAGGUACCAAGAGGUGGCGAGCUGGCUGUAUGAGGCCAGAGCGAGGCCUGGCUCAAGGGUGUAGCUGUGACCGCUAUCGGAAGAGGGUUUCAAUUCCAGCUCACUUCGAGAGAAGACUUUCCCAUCAGUCAGUGGCAUCCUACUGCGGAAUGGAUGGCCUGGAGGUGGUGAGCUCUCUGUCCCCAGAGGUAUGCAACCAAGAAACAGUGGCAGAACAGGCUAGAAAGCUGGGAGUGGAUGACUCUGUGAGAUCAGCAGAGAAAUACAGAACCAAACACGAUGAUAACGCUUAACAAAGUUUACGGUGGCAAAGGGCCACUUAGAACAUUUUAGCGGCAGCCUGCUGUGAUCAGAGCAAUCUCUGGAAAUGAUUUAUUUACAUAUAAAAAUGAGACAUUUCUCAACAACCUCGAGACAGCCCCUGGGGCGAGGCUCUCAUUGGACAGCGCCUCCCCCGGGUCCGGGCUGCUCAGCCCCCGGCCGCCUCCAGCCUCGGCAGGGGGCUGAUUGCCUCUCUGAGGGGAGGCGGGCGGCUGCGGCCCGCCCUGCCAGCAUUCCGGAGAGUUCCUUCUCCAAAAUAAACCUCGCCUAAGCAUUUAAAUGUGCGGCUGAGCAUGAAGUACAGUCAACAAUUUUAUUCCAAGAAUGCAAAUGAAUCCCUGAGGGGCCAGGAAGAGGCGGAAUGCCCUGGCCCAGAAGCUUUUUUUUUUUUUUUUUUUUUUUAGAGUGUGAGUAGGACACAGCAAAUUCCACCGCCUCGAGCCAGAAUUGGGGAAACUGAGGCUGGGGCAUCAGCUCAAGGUCGCAGAGCCGGGAAAAGGCAGAGUGGGCUGGAACGUGGCUGCCAGAUGCUUUCCACCCCGCAUAGAACCACCCCACCAGGGCGCUAUUCCUGUGCACAGAGCACGCUCCCCGAUGUAGGCCAGUAGCCCCGGAAGGACAGAUGUGUGAGAUGGAGAUCCAAAGACGCUUCGGAAGGCUGCUGAACACAAACACGCUCGCGUUGGCCCUCUGCUGGCAGCAGCCGGGUGCGCGGAGAUGAUCAGAUAAGCUGCUUCUCGGUCUUUUCCAACAUUCUGAGCCCGCAAUUCACCAGGCCAGCUUGCCUUCGGGAAUCUCCCUCCGCACACUCCAAGGCGUGUUCCAGCUGACCCCCCCUUUGCUGUGAUGGCUCAAACCCCAAGUCCUCCACUCACCAGCUCUAACACACCGGAUGAGACAUUUAACCUCUUCUUGUCCUAAUUUCCUCCUCUGUAAAAUGGGGAGCACGCUGGGACCUGCUUCAGAGCGGUUACGAGUUUGAAAUGAGUUCAGAUACGGAAAACACUUGGAACAGCGCCUGCAUGCUUCAGGAAAGGAAUUCACAUAAAGUAGACACCUAAGGAAAUGAGCAUUGGAGUGACACUCAAAGGACCCCGAGACAGGGAGACGUGGAAAACAGAUGGGCAUUUGGGGGUGAAAGAAGCCGAAAAAUCGUUGCUGGCAGUGCUGUUCCUGGAAGGGAGACGAAGGCGGGAAGACACAUUUGGGUUACAGGAAGAGGCGGCCCCUCAUGCAGCAUCUUUAGUCUAUAAGGGCCCAGGGCUCUGCACGGAGAGCACUAAUUGGAUUUCAUUAAAGCGAAAUAGAUUUCCUCGCACUGGAAGAGCCAGUUCAUUAAUUUCACACAUGCUCUACUGGAGGAAGGCAUGGGGAAGGGCAGCCAGCCCCAGUCUCCCCAGGCUAAGAUCAGAGCUGGGAGCCCGCUGCAGUUUGGUGCAGAGCCUGGAGUCUGAGCGCCUGCUCCAUGCCAGUGCCUGGGCUGGCCAUCGGGGGUGCAGUGAUGAACCAGAUACAACCACCACCUCCGGUAACUCGGUCUUGGAGGAGGCAGGCACACAAGGCAGGGCGUGCACAGUGACAGGGUGCUGGACCAGGGUGUGUUCCAGGUACUGGACAUCCCGUGGAGCAGACCGACCCGGUGCUGGAGCUGAGAAGAGUGGUCUGGGCCGGAAUUUUAAAUUGGGGACAUUUGAACAUAUAAAAAGGUGGUCAAUGCCCCGGUCCGGAUGACGUCACCAGGGGAGAGAGUAGGAGGGGCCGGGUCAUCUUAGUUCUUUCUUCCUCUCAGAGCAAGGAUUCCUUCCACGCCUUCCACUGACAGGUGGCUCCCCAGUCCCUGCUUGCAUGCCCCAAUGACAGGGAGCUCACUACCAGCCAAGCCAGUCCUGCCUGCUUUUGGAAGUCCUGGCUGUUAGUUAAAUUCUUUUGUAUGCGGGCCAAAGUCUCCCUUCCCUUUUGAUUUUACUCCUUUGUUCUGAUUCCAUCUUCUGGAGACCCGGCCCGUCCAGUCGGCUCCCUCUUUGCCAUGAUCUGCUAGAACCCACAGAUGUGGUUCGCCACACCUUCCUUCUUCUCCGAUAGUGGGGCCCUGGGUUUCUUCUGAGGGUACCGCACCGUCCCCACUGCCGUCUCCCCUCCCAGGAAGCGACAAAGUCUUGUUUUAACGUCUGAACCGUGGCCUUAGAGACCAGAAGAAGAGGGGACACUUAAAACUAAGAGACUUCCCUUCUGUGUCUUUCUUAAACACACCCGGUUCCUUCUGCCACUCUUAGCUGCCUCAGUGGCUACCCCAGAUAUUUUUGUCUCUGGGUUGGGGUCUUCACGCUGGAGUUAUUUUAAAAAAUUUGCUUAUUUUUGAGAAGGAGAGGAGAGAGAGAAUGAGUGAGGGAGGGACAAAGAGAGAGGGAGACGCAGAAUCCG